GAUGAAGAACGUAGCAAAAUGCGAUACUUGGUGUGAAUUGCAGAAUCCCGUGAACCAUCGAGUCUUUGAACGCAAGUUGCGCCCGAAGCCAUUAGGCCGAGGGCACGCCUGCCUGGGCGUCACACGUCGUUGCCCCCCCAUCUACUCCUUCGGGAUUGCGGGGGGCGGAUGAUGGCCUCCCGUGCGCCUCGUCGCGCGGUUGGCAUAAAUGCCAAGUCCUCGGCGACGCACGCCACGACAAUCGGUGGUUGCGAAACCUCGGUUGCCCGUCGUGUGCGGUCGUCGCGCAUCGAGGGCUCGAAAAAAUUGUCGGGCUCCGGCUCGGCUUUCAACGCGACCCCAGGUCAGGCGGGGUUACCCGCUGAAUUUAAGCAUAUCAAUAAGCGGAGGA
This 391-nucleotide unclassified non-coding RNA is filed under the name soil metagenome. Its description in RNAcentral is "partial contains 5.8S ribosomal RNA, internal transcribed spacer 2, and large subunit ribosomal RNA". The stretch from base 1 to 122 matches the Rfam family "5.8S ribosomal RNA", at positions 35 to 154 of the family's 154-position model. The record is from RNAcentral.